RNAcentral lists this ribosomal RNA (515 nucleotides) under uncultured bacterium. Its description in RNAcentral is "partial 16S ribosomal RNA". It matches the Rfam family "Bacterial small subunit ribosomal RNA", at positions 28 to 507 of the family's 1533-position model. The record is from RNAcentral.
GACGAACGCUGGCGGCGUGCCUAAUACAUGCAAGUCGAGCGCAUGCACCCGGCGGACCUCUUCGGAGGGAAACCGGGGAAUUGAGCGGCGGACGGGUGAGUAACACGUGGGCAACCUGCCCUCCCGACGGGGAUAACUCCGGGAAACCGGAGCUAAUACCCGAUCAUCAAGCCGAUCUCCUGAUCGGCUUGUAAAAGCAUGGUCUUCGGACCAUGCACUGGCGGAUGGGCCCGCGGCGUAUUAGCUAGUUGGAGAGGAAAGGGCUCUCCAAGGCGACGAUAGGUAGCCGACCUGGAGAGGGGGUCGGCCACACUGGGACUGAGACACGGCCCAGGCUCCUACGGGGAGGAACAGGAGGGAAACAUUCGCAAAUGACGGAAAGCUGGCGGUGCAACGCCGCGUGGGUGAUGGAGGGUUUCGGAUCGGAAAGCUCUGUUGUGAGGGGAGAACAAGGGCGGUACUAACAGAGCCGCCCCCUGACGGUACCUCACCAGAAAGUCCCGGCUAACUACGUG